This 526-nucleotide ribosomal RNA is filed under the name Trigonopterus ampanensis. RNAcentral's name for it is "partial large subunit ribosomal RNA". It matches the Rfam family "Bacterial large subunit ribosomal RNA", at positions 1846 to 2633 of the family's 2925-position model. Lineage: Eukaryota; Metazoa; Arthropoda; Insecta; Coleoptera; Curculionidae. The record is from RNAcentral.
UUUCAGGUCGGGCCUGCCCAUUGAGAAUAUUUAAAGGCCGCGGUAUAUUGACCGUGCAAAGGUAGCAUAAUCACUAGUUUUUUAAUUGGAAGCUUGUAUGAAAGGCUUGAUGAAAAAAUUACUGUCUCUUUAAGAUUUGUUUAGAAUUUUAUUUUUAAGUGAAAAAGCUUAAAUUUAUAUGGAAGACGAGAAGACCCUAUAGAGUUUUAUAAAUAAAUAUAAGUUUGGUAUUAGGGAUAAUAGUCUGUAUUUAUGCUUAUUUAUUUUGUUGGGGUGAUUAAAAAAUUGAAUUAACUUUUUUAAAUUGAAAUAUUAAUGUGUAAGUUUGUGAUCCUAAAAAUAGAUUAAGAGAAUAAAUUACCUUAGGGAUAACAGCGUAAUUUUUUUUAGAGUUCUUAUCGAAAAAAAAGAUUGCGACCUCGAUGUUGGAUUAAAAUUAAUUGUUGGUGUAGAAGCUAAUUAAUUAGGUCUGUUCGACCUUUAAAAUUUUACAUGAUCUGAGUUUAAACCGGUGUGAGCCAGGUCG